Molecule: non-coding RNA, 72 nt
Organism: Hipposideros armiger (great roundleaf bat)
Lineage: Eukaryota; Metazoa; Chordata; Mammalia; Chiroptera; Hipposideridae
Source: the annotation of a RefSeq genome assembly
GGGGGUGUAGCUCAGUGGUAGAGUGCAUGCCCUGCAUGCAUGAGGCCCUGGGUUUGAUCCCUGGCAUCUCCA